GUAUAUCAAAAUUUCUAAUCUCCCAUCAUAUUCACAUACAAACACAAACAAUAACAAACCAAACUUUUCUACCUACUCACAAUGGAGAUGGCUUUAAAGGUGAAGAUAACGGCGGUGGUGAUAUUGGUUGGCAUAGCAGGAAUAUCCAUAGUGAUGGAAAUGUGCGGCGUAGACGAGGAGGGUCUCACGGCAUGUAAGCCGUGGGUAACGAAACCAUGCCCGACCGAGAUGCCACCGGCCACUUGUUGCAAUAAGCUCUCCAAUGCCGACUUUAGUUGCUUUUGCAAAUAUAAGAACUCAAUGUUGCUAUCCUCAUUUGGGAUUGAUCCUGACCUUGCUCUUGCUUUGCCAGUUAAAUGCAACAUUACUAACACUCCAACUUGCUCUAGUUAAAGCUUGAGCAAAAUAAAUAUUUAUGAGUGUGUAAGUGGAAGUGGAAGUGGAAGUGGAAUGGGAGAAGACCAUCAUAUAUUGGGCCUCACUUAUCUUAUGUUUAAUUCUAUUUCAUUUCUUUUUCUACUUUUAAAAGAAAAUGUAAUUUUCUAAUUUUCUAAUUUUCUAAUUUUAUUUCCAUCAUUACAUUUACUACGAUGAUGAAUUGUAAUGGUAAUCGGUACUUUAUCCA
Molecule: long non-coding RNA, 625 nt
Organism: Cucumis melo (muskmelon)
Lineage: Eukaryota; Viridiplantae; Streptophyta; Magnoliopsida; Cucurbitales; Cucurbitaceae
Exons: 2
Source: RefSeq, a predicted model, not a curated record